GUGUCAGCCGCCGCGGUAAUACAGAGGGUGCGAACGUUGCUCGGAAUUACUGGGCGUAAAGCGCGUGUAGGCGGGUCGGCAAGUCAGGCGUGAAAUCCCCAGGCUCAACCUGGGAACUGCGCUUGAAACUGCCGGUCUUGAGUAUCGGAGAGGGUGGCGGAAUUCCUGGUGUAGAGGUGAAAUUCGUAGAUAUCAGGAGGAACACCGGUGGCGAAGGCGGCCACCUGGACGAUUACUGACGCUGAGACGCGAAAGCGUGGGGAGCAAACAGGAUUAGAUACCCCAGUAGUCC
RNAcentral lists this ribosomal RNA (292 nucleotides) under uncultured bacterium. Its description in RNAcentral is "partial 16S ribosomal RNA". It matches the Rfam family "Bacterial small subunit ribosomal RNA", at positions 505 to 796 of the family's 1533-position model. The record is from RNAcentral.